AUUCUGAAGACUGACUGAGCGUGGAAGUUGCUCAACAAAAAAAGGAACGGGUAUAUUGACAGAGUCUUGCUCUAUUGCCCAGGCUGCAACUGGUGUGAUCUCGGCUCACUACAACCUCUGCCUCCUGGGUUCAAGCGAUUCUCCUGCCUCAAGCUCCCAAGUAGCUGGGAUUACAAGCAUGCACCACCAUGCCUGGCUAAUUUUUGUAUUUUUAGUGGAGACGGGGUUUCGCCACAUUGGCCAGGGUGGUCUUGAACUCCUGACCUCAAGUGAUCCACCUGCCUUGGCCUCCCAAAGUGCUGGGAUUAUAAGCAUGAGCCACUGCACCCAGCCUUAUACUGAACUUUCAAUGGGUUCAAUUCCACUAGGAGCAUAAAGGCCACUGCAUAUGAGUUGUGGAAAGAAGAGAUUAGAAGAAGGAAGAACUUGAGAUGAGUUCCUCCCUUCAACAUUCUGUCUCCUCCUACCUAGCAUCUUCUUUCUUUUAGUCUUUCUAGAAUGUCCAUCUGUUUUUGGCCAUUGCGGAGAGAGAAGCUGAGCUUUAAAGGAGUAGGAGCUUCAAAGGCUUGCUGAGACAAAGGAAAACCCACUCCCUUGGAGGAGCAUGACCU
RNAcentral lists this long non-coding RNA (611 nucleotides) under Homo sapiens (human). RNAcentral describes it as "DLX6 antisense RNA 1". The record is from RNAcentral. Lineage: Eukaryota; Metazoa; Chordata; Mammalia; Primates; Hominidae.